RNAcentral lists this ribosomal RNA (253 nucleotides) under uncultured bacterium. Its description in RNAcentral is "partial 16S ribosomal RNA". It matches the Rfam family "Bacterial small subunit ribosomal RNA", at positions 524 to 776 of the family's 1533-position model. The record is from RNAcentral.
UACGUAGGGUGCAGGCGUUAAUCGGAAUUACUGGGCGUAAAGCGUGCGCAGGCGGUUUGCUAAGACAGGUGUGAAAUCCCCGGGCUUAACCUGGGAACUGCGCUUGUGACUGGCAAGCUUGAGUGUGGCAGAGGGGGGUGGAAUUCCACGUGUAGCAGUGAAAUGCGUAGAGAUGUGGAGGAACACCGAUGGCGAAGGCAGCCCCCUGGGCUAACACUGACGCUCAUGCACGAAAGCGUGGGGAGCAAACAGG